CCGCACAAGCGGUGGAGCAUGUGGUUUAAUUCGAAGCAACGCGAAGAACCUUACCAGGUCUUGACACUCCCCUGACAACCCGAGAGAUCGGGCGUUCCCCCGUUCGGGGGGACAGGGUGACAGGUGGUGCAUGGUUGUCGUCAGCUCGUGUCGUGAGAUGUUGGGUUAAGUCCCGCAACGAGCGCAACCCUCGACCUUAGUUGCCAGCAUUCAGUUGGGCACUCUAAGGUGACUGCCGGCUAAAAGUCGGAGGAAGGUGGGGAUGACGUCAAAUCAUCAUGCCCCUUAUGACCUGGGCUACACACGUGCUACAAUGGGCGGUACAAAGGGUCGCGAACCCGCGAGGGGGAGCCAAUCCCAAAAAGCCGCUCUCAGUUCGGAUUGCAGGCUGCAACUCGCCUGCAUGAAGUCGGAAUCGCUAGUAAUCGCGGAUCAGCACGCCGCGGUGAAUACGUUCCCGGGCCUU
RNAcentral lists this ribosomal RNA (466 nucleotides) under uncultured Anoxybacillus sp. RNAcentral's name for it is "bacterial SSU rRNA". It matches the Rfam family "Bacterial small subunit ribosomal RNA", at positions 921 to 1382 of the family's 1533-position model. Lineage: Bacteria; Bacillati; Bacillota; Bacilli; Caryophanales; Anoxybacillaceae. The record is from RNAcentral.